This 96-nucleotide small RNA is filed under the name Arabidopsis thaliana (thale cress). RNAcentral describes it as "ATSL291420". The record is from RNAcentral. Lineage: Eukaryota; Viridiplantae; Streptophyta; Magnoliopsida; Brassicales; Brassicaceae.
UACCUUACAAGGACCAUAUAUUAUAUAUGUAUAUAUAUAUAUAUAGAUCCCACGGACCUACGUUAAAAAAAGUCAUACUGUUAUUCUGUUAACUAC